UUGGUUCCGGUUCACGGUUCGGCACCCUGCCGCACCGACCCGGCGGCC
Molecule: non-coding RNA, 48 nt
Filed under: Jiangella gansuensis DSM 44835
Lineage: Bacteria; Bacillati; Actinomycetota; Actinomycetes; Jiangellales; Jiangellaceae
Description: L31-Actinobacteria ribosomal protein leader
Rfam family: L31-Actinobacteria ribosomal protein leader
Source: RNAcentral